Gasterosteus aculeatus aculeatus (three-spined stickleback) is the source of this 2076-nucleotide non-coding RNA. Lineage: Eukaryota; Metazoa; Chordata; Actinopteri; Perciformes; Gasterosteidae. The record is from RefSeq and is a predicted model, not a curated record.
GUAUUAUGCCGUAAAAUAACGGUAACUUCCUGCUGCCAGUAAAAUACCGUUAAUUUACCGUGACAUUUUUUUGAGUGUACUGCUAUUUAUAGGUCCCAAACCUCAGCAGCUCCUACACGAACCUUGUACUUCGGCACCUUGUGACCCCUGUUUACUUUCAGUCCGUUCACUCCAACAGAGAACGAGGCUCAUCCGCUGGAUCCUCUUUGUGUUCUUCAACCACCCUCAAGCCAAGGACAACAUCAUCGAGCGCUUCCUCUAUCAGCCUCAAGGAGUUUCAACCUACAGCAAAGAACCAUCGCUCAAGAACGUACAGCCUGCGGAAACGUGACAAGUGCUCCAGGACUUGGUGAAAGUCACUGAACAGACAAGGACCCGAUCACAGAAGUUGUGGAGUCCCUCCAUGUGAACUUUGAAUUUGACGCCGCUCAGAAGAAGCUGAGGGAGUGCGAGUCGGUGAGGAUUGCUUCCUGAAGUGUCUUCUGCAGCGUUUGUCACGGUGCACAGGCCUGAAUCAACCCCUUAUGAAAGUGAGCUGUCUCCCUGGACGGAGAGGGUAAUAUGAAGCUUCCCUCAGCUAUGGUGCUCUGAUCUUCUGAGCCCAAAGCAUUAAACUUUGCAGCCAUUCAGUCUCAGCAAAUCCAUGUCUGGCCUGAUUUGCUGCCUCUUAUUUUUUUACUUGUUUGGAUUUUCAAAGCGUAACAGCUGUCUGGGGCUCGCUGGCCCUUUCUUUAAAAAACCCAGAGACACUGCAGUGUUUCCGAUGGUUGUGUAUCGGGGAUCACUUUGGACAUUCUCUGAGCACCCCCAUCAGUUGGCUGUUACUGCUCUUGUGUAACUUAAGCAGUGAUUGCAAGAUACAGAGUCAGAUACAGAGAGCGAGCUCUCGUUGAAUCUGCUGAAUUUUAAUCGUCUGGGUAAUUUGAAUUUACAUGUUUUUGUUCACUUUCCCUCUAGAGAUCAACUUGUCUUAAUUACUGUAAAAACAAGUUAUUAAUAUAUUUUUUUUAAUGACGGUCUCCUUUUGUGUGAAGAUGAAAACCGGCUUGUUAAAAUCUCUUGUAAAUUUGUAAAGUAAUGUUUGUGCUCCGUUUUUAUGUGUUUACGACAGCAAAAUGGUUGAAUAAUUGUAUUUCUUACACAAUAACAUCUCCUUCUAAAAAUAAUGGUAUCACAUAUUUCAAUAUCCCAGACGCCACGCCAAUAUAUUCAUUAAUCUAAGCUCCUCUGGAGAUGUGAGAUGGUCAAACAUCCCAUUUGAUGUCUCUGUGUUUGUUGUUUGAAACCGGAUAGAGACGUCGCAACAUAAUCUUACACACACACACACACCUUAGGGCUCUGGUGAUCGCUUAAUGUUCUAAUAAGGUGAUGGAUUUAUGGAGAAAUAGCGUAUAGCAUCUUGUUGUCUUCUGGUAUUUAUAAAAAGUGAAACUUGGUGUAAAUGAGGCUUGGAUGUGUCAACGUUCCAGCUCAACUCAACAAAACCUCCUCAAUUACUCUCACAAUCAGCAGCUCAGCUUUCUCCCAAAGUACACCAUCAAAUUAGCAAACAAAUAUUUUGAAUUUUACAAAUACCAUUUGCGAGUGGUCUAAACCUGUCGAAGGAGUCGCGAGCAAUUACCUCAAUAUUCCACUAUUGGAAAGCAUAAUUCAUAACUUUGAAGUAAGAGAACCGUUUUUGAAUUACACAUCAUGUUGACAAUGUCCUGUUUAACUUAUUUAUUCAUUUGGCUUGACAAAAUCACCAUCCAUGUAAAUUUGCUAUCGAUGCUGUUGAAUUAUUGCAGGCCUUUUGGUUGUGGACGCAUUAGUAUGUUUUCCUUCAUUCAGUGUUGAUACGACCCUCGGGGAUCGAUUUCUUAACCAGUCUCUGCGUUCAGCUUUUGGUGCUGUUAAACGAUCCAAGCAGCACUGAAAUAUAGGAUGUACAGUAAAGAGCAGGAUGCGUAGCGUCAAGCUCCUUUGAACAAUUAUAUAAGUGAUCAAGCUUUGUUUCACGAUGCCUCAUUUGAUCAUUCUUCUCUUUCUUUACGGGGCUUGUUUGAAGGCAAAAAUUACUGUCCAUGAAUGUGAGAA